GACGAACGCUGGCGGCGUGCUUAACACAUGCAAGUCGAACGAUGAAGAAAAGAAUCGAAGCUUCGGCAGAAAUUCAUUUCGGAUUAGUGGCAGACGGGUGAGUAACGCGUGAGCAACCUACCUCUUACAGAGGGAUAGCCUCGGGAAACCGGGAUUAAUACCAUAUAACAUUGUGACGAAGCAUUUCGAUGCAAUCAAAGCUACGGCGGUAAGAGAUGGGCUCGCGUCCCAUUAACCGGAUGGUGAGGUAACGGCUCACCAUAGUGACGAUGGGUAACCGGCCUGAGAGGGUGAACGGUCACACUGGAACUGAGACACGGUCCAGACUCCUACGGGAGGCAGCAGUGGGGAAUAUUGCACAAUGGAGGGAACUCUGAUGCAGCGACGCCGCGUGAGUGAUGAAGGAAUUCGUUUCGUAAAACUCUGUUCUAUGGGAAGAAAAGGACUGUACCAUAGGAGAAAGCUCCGGCUAAAUACGUG
Molecule: ribosomal RNA, 480 nt
Filed under: uncultured bacterium
Lineage: Bacteria
Description: partial 16S ribosomal RNA
Rfam family: Bacterial small subunit ribosomal RNA
Source: RNAcentral